Molecule: long non-coding RNA, 343 nt
Organism: Pomacea canaliculata
Lineage: Eukaryota; Metazoa; Mollusca; Gastropoda; Architaenioglossa; Ampullariidae
Exons: 3
Source: RefSeq, a predicted model, not a curated record
CGGCCGCCAUAUUGAGUCAGCGUAAUUGUUGAGUGCCAUGUGAAGAAACGAAGGUGAGAGGUUACGCCGACCAAUUCAUUGCAGGGUCCAGCAGGCGCUAAUACCAACCGCAACUGGGAGCGCAAGCCCGUCAGAAUGAAUAAAGUUCCAACUGGCACACAGACGAACAGCAACGCCACCGAACCUGCUACAGCCAGACAUCUUAGUACGAAAAGGUCCAGUGCGUACGAGGCUGUGUGAAAGGUGCCAUCACGCAAUGACAGUUUUGACCGACUCAGCUUGUCCUCACGUCUCCUUCUGGUCCUUCACGUUUGCCCAUUUUUGACGCCGGGUACCAUCAAGU